AGCGGGGUCUGGGGGGGCCGCUGGCGGCCCCCACCCACGAGGCUGCCCCGCGCCAGCUUCUGCAGCUCGACGGGCACUACGGCGCUGGGGCAGUGCUUCUCGAUGUAGUCCUGGAAUCCCUGCACUCCCAUGGAAGGAAACUAGUCCAGAGCAUGUGCCACCAGGAGCCUGGCUGUCAGCAUCCUUGGAGUCAGGGCAGCACAGCAGAACUGAGCACUGCCAGUUCAUGCCCAGCCACAAACACAGCCCUCCCUCCCCAACGAGAAGAAAGAGAGAGGAAAAGCAUAAGGGGAAACAAGGUGCUUCCAGAACUUAUUUAAUAUAAACUAAAAGCUUAGCCAGACAAGAAGACAAUGGAAAAUAAGUUAAAUUUAUGGAAAAACAAAAUUACUCUGGAAAGCAGGUAGAUUAAGCUAGACUUAAAGAGCAAUUAAUCAAAGACACAAGGCAAACAAAGUGGUUUUUUCAUCAACCAGCAGCAGAAAGCCUGCAGGAUUCAUCAAUCUACUUCAGCACUGAGACACGUGUUCCACAGUUCCCAGAUGUUGGUUGUAUAAGGGAAGGGUUAAUAACAGUUGGUAUUAAAGUCAGUGACUCAUUAUCCAACCUGAACAGAGGCGAAUUAGGAGUGGCUCCCUCAAAGAUAGGAACUGAACAGUCAUUGGGAAGAACUAGCGAAUAACCAUGUCAGAGCAAGAACAGAGAUGAAUGUUAUCAGUUUAGUCUUGGUUCCUCUGUUAAGGAAGGUCAGUCCCACAGCAAGAUGAACAUGGACGCAGACUGUGGAACAGACUAGCCACUGGGACCUGAAAGCCUGGUGCAUCUUGCUGUGGCCCUGCUGCCCCAGAACUUCCCUGUUCUUGCUGCUGUAGAAGAGCUCCCAGCCUUCACCUCACUGCCAGGUCUACAAGUGGCCAUGGGCUCACCCUGUGGGC
This is a long non-coding RNA of Camarhynchus parvulus, 935 nucleotides long. RefSeq lists it as uncharacterized. NCBI's taxonomy places the organism in Eukaryota, Metazoa, Chordata, Aves, Passeriformes, Thraupidae. The transcript is spliced from 3 exons. The record is from RefSeq and is a predicted model, not a curated record.